CUGGCUCCAGGCGGGAUGAACACCGGCCACACCACAGCUUGGCUUCCAGCGUAGAAACACACCCUUUAUCCACUCGUGGACUUGUGGUCGAGCCCGCCGGCCGCCGCCGGCCGCCACCGCCCUCCAUUGUCCCCCUCUUCCGCGAGGGGCCACCACUCGUGCCCAUACCCUCUCCAUUCAUCUCUCUCGCUUCUCCUUUUUUCUGUCCACUUCGAUGCCGCCAUCUCCUUACUACAGGCAUCUCUGGCCUCCACAUACUGCCGAAAGGUCCUAUCAAUCACGGUUCCAAUCUUGAGUGCAACAGCACGUAUCGGUUCGAUUCUUUGCUUCAAACAUAAGUCUCGCAUCAAUCCACUUAUCCCUUAUCAGUUGCUUGCUCCCUUUGCAAUCACUUAGAUAUAAUGCUUGCUCCCUUUGCAAUCAGUUAGAUAUAACCUAUUCACUUCUUGAAUCAAGAUGAAAGAUGCUGGUUUUGCAGGGUCUGGGGCUAGUGAAAAAUGAAGCAAUGACUAAUCAACGAGCCCCUCAGGAGAUUACAGGUACCAAUGUCUGGUCAAUCGAUAUUGUUUUUACUCUAAAUUUUAUAUUCUCGUUUUGAUGGUUCAGGUUAUGACCCUCCCGUGACUGAAUUUUUUCCUGAGCACAAGAGACGCAGAGAGUAGACUGUGGAGAUCUAGUUAAUUUUGCCGAUGCAGUGAGUCGUGGUGGACCCAUGGCAAUACAUUUACAAUGCAUAUGGACAUUAGAGUAUAUGUCAGUUUAUUUCCUCCUGGUGAUUGGCUCGCACUGCUAGAGCCUUUUGGAAGCUGUAGAGGAAGAGAAAAAGAGAAAUAUCCAACUGCCCAAAGAGGUCCUCGACGAGAUCGAGAUCACCACCUAGUUGGAAGUCAUGUUCUUGGAGCAAUCCGGAGUGUAAAUGUUUGAUGUUGUAGUUUGUACUUUGUAGUAAUCACAGAUGUAUAGAGAUUUUUUGUUGACAAGAUCAAGUGUCCAUGUAGGAUCUGUGC
This 1007-nucleotide long non-coding RNA is filed under the name Setaria italica (foxtail millet). RNAcentral describes it as "long non-coding RNA (SITA_LNC004620)". Lineage: Eukaryota; Viridiplantae; Streptophyta; Magnoliopsida; Poales; Poaceae. The record is from RNAcentral.